AUUGAACGCUGGCGGCAUGCUUUACACAUGCAAGUCGAACGGCAGCGCGGGCUUCGGCCUGGCGGCGAGUGGCGAACGGGUGAGUAAUGCAUCGGAACGUGCCCAGUAGUGGGGGAUAGCCCGGCGAAAGCCGGAUUAAUACCGCAUACGACCUGAGGGUGCAAGCGGGGGACCGAAAGGCCUCGCGCUAUUUGGGCGGCCGAUGUCGGGUUAGCUAGUUGGUGGGGUAAAGGCUUACCAAGGCGACGAUCCGUAGCUGGUCUGAGAGGACGACCAGCCACACUGGGACUGAGACACGGCCCAGACUCCUACGGGAGGCAGCAGUGGGGAAUUUUGGACAAUGGGGGCAACCCUGAUCCAGCCAUGCCGCGUGCGGGAAGAAGGCCUUCGGGUUGUAAACCGCUUUUGUUCGGGAAGAAAUCCUCUGGGCUAAUACCCCGGGGGAUGACGGUACCGGAAGAAUAAGCACCGGCUAACUACGUG
This 483-nucleotide ribosomal RNA is filed under the name uncultured bacterium. Its description in RNAcentral is "partial 16S ribosomal RNA". It matches the Rfam family "Bacterial small subunit ribosomal RNA", at positions 28 to 507 of the family's 1533-position model. The record is from RNAcentral.